RNAcentral lists this ribosomal RNA (238 nucleotides) under uncultured bacterium. Its description in RNAcentral is "partial 16S ribosomal RNA". It matches the Rfam family "Bacterial small subunit ribosomal RNA", at positions 262 to 512 of the family's 1533-position model. The record is from RNAcentral.
UGUUGGUUCAUGCGUCGACGGGUAGCCGGCCUGAGAGGGUGACCGGCCACACUGGGACUGAGACACGGCCCAGACUCCUACGGGAGGCAGCAGUGGGGAAUAUUGCACAAUGGGCGAAAGCCUGAUGCAGCGACGCCGCGUGAGGGAUGACGGCCUUCGGGUUGUAAACCUCUUUCAGCAGGGACGAAGCGAAAGUGACGGUACCUGCAGAAGAAGCACCGGCCAACUACGUGCACAC